Oncorhynchus tshawytscha (Chinook salmon) is the source of this 1923-nucleotide long non-coding RNA. NCBI's taxonomy places the organism in Eukaryota, Metazoa, Chordata, Actinopteri, Salmoniformes, Salmonidae. The record is from Ensembl.
GAAAACUUUAGGGGCUUUAGGGUUGUCAGACAAUUUGUGGGCUAAACCUAGCUCAAAUUCUACACGUUGGAGUAAAACGAGGCUUCAUUGAUAGAUGAUGGCUGCAAUCCACUCCCAGUUAAGCGGGGUCCGGUCAGGCCUCCGUCAGCUCCAAAAUGCCCUGGGGGAUGUGAUGGACAUCCAGAACUUUCUUUCUGGUAGAAGUCAGCAAUAACUGGAGGCAAAACAUUAACACCAUUGAGAACCUGAAGUACGUCAAAUAUGCUGGGACGCAACAUCAGCGGUGGCUCCUCAGAGGAGGAAAUGCCUGAGUUGGUGGCAGGACACUCCAUUAAUGAUAGAGCAAGCCGAGCUGUUGAAGGGCCACCACAAGCUGAUGAACCUGGAGUGCUCAUGGAAUGACUUCAUGUACGAUCAGUACAGGAUGGGCAGCAAGAACACACACAACAUGAACCUCAAUCCAACAAGAUUGUGUCCCUCCUCACCUGGGUCCUCAAUUAAAGGGAAACUUCACUGCUAGCCACUAUCUCCCUACAUCAUUUUAAGUGAUGAGAGGGUGUUCCUGACAUAAUUAUGCAGCAUAGAGGUAUUUUUGAAUUUUCGCAACGGCCUUUGUGUUACGCCGAUUGUACAAUCACACUAGCAGUGAGUAGAUAUGGUUGUCCUUGUUCAAUAGAGCCAUUGGACUUGUCUCAACGAUGUUCCUAUCUGACACAACAUUGCAGGAUAUCUAGGUUGACUCAUGUUCUCUGGCUUUUUUUAAUGUUCUUUUACAUACUAACAUAGGGACAUACUGCCCUAUUAAUUUGAGCCGAAAUACAGUGAAGAGGAGUUGAGACGGCGAGAACAAGAAUUGCGAGGCCAGCAAGCAGCGAUGGGGAGCCACGGGCAGACUUUGACCAGCGGUGCCUAUGUGGGUGCUGUCCAGCCACGCCGACAGAAGAGAAAUGUCUGUGCUGCAACUAAUUAGAUUGUGGACGGUUCAUACUGGAGAUGGUCACUGCAGACCCCAUGGAUUGUGUGUCUGAUACAGACCAUCAAAGUUUUGACGCAGAUAUGGAUAGAAGUGUGCUGGAGACAUUUUUCAGAACCUCCAAGAUCAAAUGGCGGCGGCAGCCUAGACCAGCGGGGUAGUACGUUGUUUUGCUGUUGGUAGCUACUAGCUAGCUAGUAAUAUAAGCUCUCUUUUCACAUGAGGCAGUGUUGUUCAGUACAGUAUAAUUUUGUGAUUGAUUCGGCCAUAUCGGGGCUUGCUAGUACCACUACAAGUUGAACUAGCUAGCUUUGUUUGCUAUACCCAAAAUGUCCCGUAGCCUAAUGUUAUCAUUAUCUAGCUAUUGUAAGCUAGCUAGCAAUGCUAGCCUCAGUGCAUCUUAUUAGUAGCAAAAAUGGAUAAAUGUUUUGAUGAUGAUGACGAAGAGUAAAGAAAUGACUUUGGAUUUAUGACUCAUAUUGGUCUACCUGUGUGUCUGUGAGAUUUGUAAUAUUCUGCAUCAUGAUGCUACAGUAGGAAUACAGACAGUACACAAUGAUUGGCCAUUAAAGUCUAAUAGUGUUUUGUCAUUCUCUUACAGACAAUACUGCUUGGUGAAAGAUUAUAUUUGGAGAUGGUUAUCGGUGUCGGAGAAGCUAGGCACAGAACACUGAAUUCCCUGAAAACAUUUCCGGCACCUACUUCAGUCCAAGUCAAGCACUGGUCUAACUGAAUGUGGAUGUUGUGUUGCCUGAAUGUUCCAGGCACAAUCCAGAAUGUUCUUCUGCUGGUGAACCUUGUCUUGUGUUGUGCAAUGGCAGCUGGUCUGGCAGAAGUUCAUGAGCUCAAUGACCUUGGACUCAUCGACUCAUAGAUUUCGGCUCUUGCCAGCCCCAUGCAGUCUUUUCCUCUUCCGAGUCAGAUGAUGUUGAGCUUGAGUUUUUUCCCGG